UACGAAGGGGGCUAGCGUUGCUCGGAAUCACUGGGCGUAAAGCGUGCGCAGGCGGUCCGCAAAGUCUGAUGUGAAAGCCCCGGGCUCAACCUGGGAACUGCAUUGGAAACUAACGGGCUCGAGUGUGGCAGAGGGGGGUGGAAUUCCACGUGUAGCAGUGAAAUGCGUAGAGAUGUGGAGGAACACCGAUGGCGAAGGCGGCUCACUGGUCCGGUACUGACGCUGAGGUGCGAAAGCGUGGGGAGCAAACAGG
Molecule: ribosomal RNA, 253 nt
Filed under: uncultured bacterium
Lineage: Bacteria
Description: partial 16S ribosomal RNA
Rfam family: Bacterial small subunit ribosomal RNA
Source: RNAcentral